AGAGGAAUGCUCAACAUCUGAACCAUAUGUUCGCACAUUUGAUCGCUGUGAUGACUUUGUAAAUGAACACGCGAAUGAUGAUAACUGUUUGCGACAUGCGUUGGAGAGUGUCCCGCAACUGCUGGAAAUUGCAAAGAAAUUGAUCUGUAAGGGAAGAAAGAAUAAGUUGGAUAAGAGCUCCGUGUACUACGCAGAAUUUGAAAAAGAAUUGA
Long non-coding RNA from Bufo gargarizans (Asiatic toad), 212 nucleotides. RefSeq lists it as uncharacterized. NCBI's taxonomy places the organism in Eukaryota, Metazoa, Chordata, Amphibia, Anura, Bufonidae. The transcript is spliced from 3 exons. The record is from RefSeq and is a predicted model, not a curated record.